GCCUUGUUGGNUUCUCUGUNUUUGAAGNGNUUGCUCUGAUAUGACNAUNAACAUUGUNNNUGGAGUGGCGAACGGGUGAGUAACACGCUGGGAAACCUACCUCUUANNAAGGGGAUAACAUCUGGAAACAGAUGCUAAUACCGCAUAACACUAGCAACCGCAUGGUUGCUACUUGAAAGAUGGUUCUGCUAUCACUAAGAGAUGGUCCCGCGGCGCAUUAGUUAGUUGGUGAGGUAAUGGCUCACCAAGACGAUGAUGCGUAGCCGAGUUGAGAGACUGAUCGGCCACAAUGGGACUGAGACACGGCCCAUACUCCUACGGGAGGCAGCAGUAGGGAAUCUUCCACAAUGGACGAAAGUCUGAUGGAGCAACGCCGCGUGUGUGAUGAAGGGUUUCGGCUCGUAAAACACUGUUGUAAGAGAAGAAUAGCAUCAAGAGUAACUGCUUGGUGUGUGACGGUAUCUUACCAGAAAGGAACGGCUAAAUACGUGCCAGCAGCCGCGGUAAUACGUAUGUUCCAAGCGUUAUCCGGAUUUAUUGGGCGUAAAGCGAGCGCAGACGGUUUUUUAAGUCCGAAGUGAAAGCCCACAGCUUAACUGUGGAAGUGCUUUGGAAACUGGAUGACUUGAGUGCAGUAGAGGAGAGUGGAAUUCCAUGUGUAGCGGUGAAAUGCGUAGAUAUAUGGAGGAACACCAGUGGCGAAGGCGGCUCUCUGGACUGUAACUGACGUUGAGGCUCGAAAGUGUGGGUAGCAAACAGGAUUAGAUACCCUGGUAGUCCACACCGUAAACGAUGAGUGCUAGAUGUUUGGGGGUUUCCGCCCCCUAAGUGUCGCAGCUAACGCAUUAAGCACUCCGCCUGGGGAGUACGACCGCNAGGUUGAAACUCAAAGGAAUUGACGGGGAACCCCCCCAACCGUGGA
Molecule: ribosomal RNA, 922 nt
Filed under: Weissella tructae
Lineage: Bacteria; Bacillati; Bacillota; Bacilli; Lactobacillales; Lactobacillaceae
Description: bacterial SSU rRNA
Rfam family: Bacterial small subunit ribosomal RNA
Source: RNAcentral